UACGAAGGGGGCUAGCGUUGCUCGGAAUCACUGGGCGUAAAGCGCACGUAGGCGGAUCUUAAGUCAGGGGUGAAAUCCUGGAGCUCAACUCCAGAACUGCCUUUGAUACUGGGGAUCUCGAGUCCGGGAGAGGUGAGUGGAACUCCGAGUGUAGAGGUGAAAUUCGUAGAUAUUCGGAAGAACACCAGUGGCGAAGGCGGCUCAC
Molecule: ribosomal RNA, 205 nt
Filed under: uncultured bacterium
Lineage: Bacteria
Description: partial 16S ribosomal RNA
Rfam family: Bacterial small subunit ribosomal RNA
Source: RNAcentral